UCCGUCGGGUGCUCUCUUUCCUCGGCCUUACUGGGCGUAAAGCGUGCGCAGGCGGUUUUGUAAGACAGAUGUGAAAUCCCCGGGCUUAACCUGGGAACUGCAUUUGUGACUGCAAGACUAGAGUACGGCAGAGGGGGGUAGAAUUCCACGUGUAGCAGUGAAAUGCGUAGAUAUGUGGAGGAAUACCGAUGGCGAAGGCAGCCCCCUGGGUCGAUACUGACGCUCAUGCACGAAAGCGUGGGGAGCAAACAGG
RNAcentral lists this ribosomal RNA (253 nucleotides) under uncultured bacterium. RNAcentral's name for it is "partial 16S ribosomal RNA". It matches the Rfam family "Bacterial small subunit ribosomal RNA", at positions 524 to 776 of the family's 1533-position model. The record is from RNAcentral.